This 522-nucleotide ribosomal RNA is filed under the name uncultured bacterium. RNAcentral describes it as "bacterial SSU rRNA". It matches the Rfam family "Bacterial small subunit ribosomal RNA", at positions 8 to 526 of the family's 1533-position model. The record is from RNAcentral.
AGAGUUUGAUCCUGGCUCAGGACGAACGCUGGCGGCGUGCUUAACACAUGCAAGUCGAGCGGAAAGGCCACUUCGGUGGUACUCGAGCGGCGAACGGGUGAGUAACACGUGAGUAAUCUGCCCCUGGCUUUGGGAUAGCCACCGGAAACGGUGAUUAAUACCGGAUAUGACCACGUACUGCAUGGUGUGUGGUGGAAAGUUUUUCGGCCAGGGAUGUGCUCGCGGCCUAUCAGCUUGAUGGUGAGGUAAUGGCUCACCAUGGCUUCGACGGGUAGCCGGCCUGAGAGGGUGACCGGUCACACUGGGACUGAGACACGGCCCAGACUCCUACGGGAGGCAGCAGUGGGGAAUUUUGGACAAUGGGCGCAAGCCUGAUCCAGCCAUGCCGCGUGCGGGAAGAAGGCCUUCGGGUUGUAAACCGCUUUUGUCAGGGAAGAAACGCUCCGGGUUAAUACCCUGGAGUAAUGACGGUACCUGAAGAAUAAGCACCGGCUAACUACGUGCCAGCAGCCGCGGUAAUAC